UUAAUCAGUCUUCUGGGAAAUCUAAUCGCUUAACUAUUAGGCUUCCAGGGGAUACUGUUAGACUUGGGACCGGGAGAGGUAAGAGGUACUGCAGGGGUAGGAGUGAAAUCUUGUAAUCCCUGUGAGACCACCAGUGGCGAAGGCGUCUUACCAGAACGGGUCCGACGGUGAGGGACGAAAGCUGGGGGCACGAACCGGAUUAGAUACCCGGGUAGUCCCAGCUGUAAACGAUGCUCGUUAGGUGUCAGGAACGGUGCGACUGUUUCUGGUGCCGAAGGGAAGCCGUGAAACGAGCCACCUGGGAAGUACGGCCGCAAGGCUGAAACUUAAAGGAAUUGGCGGGGGAGCACUACAACGGGUGGAGCCUGCGGUUUAAUUGGACUCAACGCCGGAAAACUCACCGGGGGCGACAGCAAUAUGUAGGUCAGGUUAAAGGUCUUACCUGAAUCGCUGAGAGGAGGUGCAUGGCCGUCGUCAGUUCGUACUGUGAAGCAUCCUGUUAAGUCAGGCAACGAGCAAGACCCGUGCCCACUGUUACCAGCAUAUCCUUUAUGGAUGAUGGGGACUCUGUGGGGACCGCUGCUGCUAAAGCAGAGGAAGGUGCGGGCUACGGUAGGUCAGUAUGCCCCGAAUCUCCCGGGCUACACGCGGGCUACAAUGGUUGGGACAAUGGGUAUCUACUCCGAAAGGAGUUGGCAAUCUCUUAAACCCAAUCGUAGUUCGAAUUGAGGGCUGUAACUCGCCCUCAUGAAGCUGGAAUCCGUAGUAAUCGCGUUUCAACAUAGCGCGGUGA
RNAcentral lists this ribosomal RNA (793 nucleotides) under uncultured archaeon. RNAcentral describes it as "bacterial SSU rRNA". It matches the Rfam family "Archaeal small subunit ribosomal RNA", at positions 530 to 1321 of the family's 1478-position model. The record is from RNAcentral.